GUUUGUACCACCACCGUCUUCUUCACUGUGCGCUCUGCACAGGCAAUGCGGUGUGCGACGCGCAUCAGCCGCUCCCUGCUCAACGGCGCUGAUCGAGGCGCGGGAAGCCCAUGGCGUGGCACGUCCAUUGUCCGUGCCGUCGGCGCCAUCCACGGCCUUCAAGUGGGGACCUUGGACAUCACCGGCGUCUCGGCGGGGCUACAAUGCACCCUGAGCACGUCGAGCUUCUUUUCUGUCGACGACGGCGGCGGCCCUGCAGCGCCGCUGUUGCCAUCAGAACCGGCAGAGCUGCACGCACCGGGUGUCGUGGAACAACCGGGAAUGCCAAGGAAGGGUUGUGUGUACACCGUGCACGUGGUGGGCCCCGCCGCGUUCGUCGCCGCCGUCGCUGAGGUGCUUGGCGACGACGUCCUCGUCGACCUUGCUGGGAGGUAUCAUGUGGAGCCGUACGCCUACUGGCGAUCCGGCAAGCAUCAGUGCCCCACCGUGCGUCUUUCAUACGAUCGACUGCGCCGUACUGAGGACUCGCUCCGUAUCCUGCGCGCUCCCGACAACACGGUGGCGAGGCAGCGACGUCUCUAUCAUGCCAUCUUUGCCGCUUCGCAGCCGGGACGUUGGCCGUCCCGUCAUGCGGGAGGGAGAGGCACGUGCCCGUGAGCCGAGAGACACCGAGAGGCGAAGACAGCCCUGCAGGCGCCUCUUUCUGGAUAGUUUUUCAGCACGCGCCUGCCUUGUGUUGGUGUGCACCCACCACACGCGGCCCUGUGAGAGCCUAUACAGGCUCUCCGCAUGCCGAACGCGUGCAUGUGCACGCGGAUACUUGCGUCACACGAAAGGAAGGAGCGCGGCGCAGAGCACGCGCGCAUCAUCAUCAGCCGGCAAAGUUGUUUUUCAAUGAAGCGGCCUCUGCUGAGCGGCGGCUGUCGCCCCUUGCCACUGCACCAUCGCUUCCCCACUUCCUGCGCUACGUUGCGCAUAGCUGCUACUUUCGGUGGCGUUGCGCCGCACCGUGACAGCUGUGGCGACACCGUACAGUGGCUGAGACGCGUGCCUCCAAUGGCUCUCCCUCUCACCUCUCUGUGUGGAGGCGCUGGUGAGCGCAGUGGCGGUGCAUACAUCGUCAUGCUGUGUCUGCACAUGUACACGUAUGCAUAUAUAUAUAUAUAUAUAUAUCUGUGUGUGUGUGCGAGUGCUCUGCUCGAGCUUCCCCCCUCUGUCUCUACGGUUUUGCCUCUUCCCUUCACUUCGUUUCCGCCGCUCCGCGGCUCGCUCGUGCGCGCUCGUGCACGGGUGCGGGCUUUGCUGAUGCGCGUUGGCUACCCCCCCCCCCCCCCCCCCCCCACACACACACACACACACAUGCGCCAACCGGACAG
RNAcentral lists this unclassified non-coding RNA (1376 nucleotides) under Leishmania donovani. RNAcentral's name for it is "gene:LdHU3.07.1410(CDS-product:hypothetical_prote in_conserved)". The record is from RNAcentral. Lineage: Eukaryota; Euglenozoa; Kinetoplastea; Trypanosomatida; Trypanosomatidae.